UACUUAGCGGCGGACGGGUGAGUAACGCGUGGGUAACCUGCCUUACACUGGGGGAUAACAGUUAGAAAUGACUGCUAAUACCGCAUAAGCGCACAGGGCCGCAUGGUCUGGUGUGAAAAACUCCGGUGGUGUAAGGUGGACCCGCGUCUGAUUAGGUAGUUGGUGGGGUAACGGCCCACCAAGCCGACGAUCAGUAGCCGACCUGAGAGGGUGACCGGCCACAUUGGGACUGAGACACGGCCCAA
RNAcentral lists this ribosomal RNA (245 nucleotides) under uncultured bacterium. RNAcentral's name for it is "partial 16S ribosomal RNA". It matches the Rfam family "Bacterial small subunit ribosomal RNA", at positions 89 to 334 of the family's 1533-position model. The record is from RNAcentral.